Molecule: long non-coding RNA, 888 nt
Organism: Protopterus annectens (West African lungfish)
Lineage: Eukaryota; Metazoa; Chordata; Ceratodontiformes; Protopteridae
Exons: 2
Source: RefSeq, a predicted model, not a curated record
ACAAAUCUAUGAAAGGUGCAUCAAAAAAAAAAGCUGAAACAGCUGCAAGUAAAAUGGCAUUUAAAAGGGAAGAAGGGAUACAGCUGCUGCAAAUCACAUUCUGAAUCCUCACAUAGCCUAGAUAGGUCUAAAGGAGCCUUCAGUUAUAUUCAGAUGUACAGCUGAAUAUUGAGUGCUCUGUUUACUAAUCAGCAAAGUGAAACAGUAAACCAAGGCUUUGCUUAGCAACUUCACUGUUUUGUGUGACGACUGAAAAUGGGUCUGGCUGGAAGGGGCAAAAGGGGAAAGAAGGGAGAGAGAAAAAGGGAAAAAAGUAACUGGAAUGUAAGUUCUUUUACGUUUGACGACAGAAGCUCUUCAUUUUACAGCUUUAAUCUUACAACCCCCACUGCCCACACUGGCACACGCACAACUGCAUUUCAACUUCAGUGCAAGAAACAGCACUGAACCAGUUCUACGUAUGAUUAAUUGCAAAGGACAUGGCUGACCAUAUGGAACGGAGGAAGCAUCAGGAAUUUGUGAUGACAGACGCUGAAAGGUAUGACGUGGAGACUUCUGAUGGCCCCUGACCAGAUGAAGCUGUGGAUGUACCGGAAGAACCACUGGAACUCUGGGCUAUUUACUUAAGGAAAACCAGGAAUCUAUCUGUGGCUACACCACAUGACUGUAGCAAGGGGCACCUUGGCCUGAGUUGCAACACCAGUUCUAUGAAAAGCAAAGAUUGCUGGGUUUCUACUGAGUGACUUUAAAACUGAAGAGCAAAUCACAGAGAUGAACUGAAUGUUAACCAGAAUCAAGUAAAGCACAGGUGUGCUCAUUUUUUAUUUAAGUCAGAAGUGAAGCUUGGUUUUACAUUUCAGUCCAGAAAUAAAAUGCACUUAAAUUAAA